RNAcentral lists this ribosomal RNA (333 nucleotides) under uncultured bacterium. Its description in RNAcentral is "bacterial SSU rRNA". It matches the Rfam family "Bacterial small subunit ribosomal RNA", at positions 568 to 899 of the family's 1533-position model. The record is from RNAcentral.
CGCGUAGGUGGUUGCGUAAGUCGGAUGUGAAAUCCCCAGGCUUAACCUGGGAACUGCAUCCGAUACUGCAUGACUCGAGUGCAGCAGAGGGAAACGGAAUUCCUGGUGUAGAGGUGAAAUUCGUAGAUAUCAGGAGGAACACCGGUGGCGAAGGCGGUUUCCUGGGCUGACACUGACACUGAGGCGCGAAAGCGUGGGUAGCAAACAGGAUUAGAUACCCUGGUAGUCCACGCUGUAAACGGUGAGUGCUGGGUGUGGGAGGUGUAAUGCCUUCUGUGCCGAAGCUAACGCGUUAAGCACUCCGCCUGGGGACGUACGGCCGCAAGGUUGAAA